Molecule: ribosomal RNA, 546 nt
Filed under: Triticum aestivum (bread wheat)
Lineage: Eukaryota; Viridiplantae; Streptophyta; Magnoliopsida; Poales; Poaceae
Description: partial small subunit ribosomal RNA
Source: RNAcentral
AUGGUGGAGGGCUCUGAGGAUGACAUUGCCAAUCUUAAGUUCCUCCUCCUAUGCUUCCAGCAGAUGUCUGGGCUUAAAAUCAACUUCGACAAGAGUGAAGUUAUGAUCCUUGGGUAUUCUCCUGAGGAGGCUCAGCUCAUUGCGGACCGCCUCAACUGCCAGCUUGGAUCCUUCCCAACUUACCUGGGGGUUCCCAUUAGUGAUUUGCGACUCUUCGUCGCGGAUCUGCGGCCUACGGUGACCAAACUCCAACACCGGAUCGAGCCGUGGCAGGGAAGAUGGUUGUCCAAGGCAGCGAGGACCAUGCUCAUCAACUCCUCGCUAUCCAGCCUCCUCUUGUUCCUGGUGAGCUUUUAUAGUCCCCAUGAGACCCUUCAUCACGAGAUUGCCAAGUACCAGUCUAGAUUCUACUGGGCAGGCGAGGGCGACAAGCAGAAAUACCAUAUGGUCAGCUGGCCUGACAUCUGCAAGCCCCGUGACCAGGGUGGUCUGGGGAUCAUGUUAUCCAAACGCAUGAACAUCGCCUUGCUGACCAGAUGGCUCUAG